UACGAAGGGGGCGAGCGUUGUUCGGAAUUACUGGGCGUAAAGCGCGCGUAGGCGGCUUUGCAAGUCGGGUGUGAAAUCCCCAGGCUUAACCUGGGAACUGCAUUCGAGACUGCAUUGCUAGAGUAUGGGAGAGGGAAGUGGAAUUUCCGGUGUAGCGGUGAAAUGCGUAGAUAUCGGAAGGAACAUCAGUGGCGAAAGCGACUUCCUGGACCAAUACUGACGCUCAUGUGCGAAAGCGUGGGGAGCAAACAGG
Molecule: ribosomal RNA, 253 nt
Filed under: uncultured bacterium
Lineage: Bacteria
Description: partial 16S ribosomal RNA
Rfam family: Bacterial small subunit ribosomal RNA
Source: RNAcentral